UUUGCCAUCUUGAUCCAAAAGGGAUGUGAGCUUGACGUAAACUUCCGUGACCUUUAUGCCAAUGAUGCAGCAUGUGAUAGGCUAGACGUAAUCACACAGAACACAAUAUAUCCUAGCAGGAUAUUACAUGUCUUUAAGGUACGGUAGCUCCUGUCUGUAACCCUAUCCAGCAGUCAAUGACCAAAAGCGCCCUCUUUGGCCUCAUGGGUGGAAUGUUAUUAAUAUUUUUCAUAGUUUCAGCAUCAUUAAUAAAGAUUAUUCUUUAAAACAUUAUGAAAAGAUGGUGUUUCUAUUACAAACAGUUUGGUUAUUUCAGUCCUCUGUGAUGUAUAUAAAGUGUAAUAUUGGCAUGCAAACUCAAAAUUGAAUACAUUUCAACUCAUGGUACAGGUGUAUACUUUUGUUUCAAAAUAGAUUUAAGACUACCAAGAAUCACUCUGUGUAACUCUGAUUUGGCCCGGUGCAGUAAAAUGUUAAAGUGACUCCUAUAUAGUAAUUGUAGCCCCAAUGUAUUUAACCCAGUUAGCAAUGAGCAGGAGCCUGGCAUCCCUCAAGAGUGGUCCCGCGAUGUGCGACAGAUUUUUUUUGCCAAUCUCCUCAUUCACGGGGCGCCUGCGAUAUGCCGCUUUGUCUGCCGUGACUGCCGUUUCCUUACACAGCCCAACUGCUCUUCUCCUGCCCGGCGACACUACGGCUGCCAGUCAGAGGCAAGAUGCUUUUUUAUGUACCCACUUAUUUUGUAUUUAUAGUUUUUUAUUUAAGGUCAAUUGGAUGCCAUGUCUAUUUGAUAAAAGUUUGUGGAAAAGUAUUGUAAAUGAUUGUGUGUGCAAAAUAUAUCAGAUAACAAGGGCCAGUCCUGGUCACCUGGAUCCACAGGUUACGACAAAUCAAAUCCAGUCAAAUCAAAUGUUAUUGUCAUGGACUUGCAGGCUUCUCAAAAGCGACAUAGUAAUCAAAUAAGUAACAUAGGAAAGCAAUCAAAUAAGUGACAUAAAUAUAACAUACUUAUAAAAACAACUAAAUAAACUAAAUCAAGUACAAGAGGCACGCAGCUAAAAGGAAAUAAGAUGUAAACAAAAAUAAGAUUAAAAGCGAUAUCCUAUAGGGAUAUAGAAGCUUUGUUUGCCCAUGUGCAUAGUGAGUGGGAUAAUUACAGUGCAGUUGCAUCAUAGAAUUAUAUGAACGUAUAUACAAUACAUUAGUAGUGCAGUAAGGUGACAUAACUAUUGCAUGGUUCCAGUAGAAUAAACUGACUUCAAUGUGUACAUAAUAUGAGUAAAUGGUAAGUGUGUGGUAGAGUGCAGUAGUCAGCCCAGGGUUCAGCUGUUGGAGCAGUCUUGUGGCUUGUGGGUAGAGGCUGGAUUUGAGACAGGUGGUCUGAGACUUGAUGUUGAACCUCAAUGCAGUGGAUUCCUCUCCCUUGUGCGACGCCGCCUCCCGCCUUCACAAUCGGAUGCCCGUUUUAGCUACUCAGCAUCCCGGGUUGCAGGGUUCUCCUGAAUGGCUC
This is a long non-coding RNA of Oncorhynchus tshawytscha (Chinook salmon), 1507 nucleotides long. Lineage: Eukaryota; Metazoa; Chordata; Actinopteri; Salmoniformes; Salmonidae. The record is from Ensembl.